UGUCAAUCACCUGUCUCCUUUAUUGGAC
Molecule: non-coding RNA, 28 nt
Filed under: Mus musculus (house mouse)
Lineage: Eukaryota; Metazoa; Chordata; Mammalia; Rodentia; Muridae
Source: RNAcentral